RNAcentral lists this ribosomal RNA (497 nucleotides) under uncultured bacterium. Its description in RNAcentral is "partial 16S ribosomal RNA". It matches the Rfam family "Bacterial small subunit ribosomal RNA", at positions 28 to 507 of the family's 1533-position model. The record is from RNAcentral.
GAUGAACGCUGGCGGCGUGCCUAAUACAUGCAAGUCGAGCGAACAGAUGAGGAGCUUGCUCCUCUGACGUUAGCGGCGGACGGGUGAGUAACACGUGGAUAACCUACCUAUAAGACUGGGAUAACUUCGGGAAACCGGAGCUAAUACCGGAUAAUAUAUUGAACCGCAUGGGUCAAUAGGGAAAGACGGUUUUGCUGGCACUUAUAGAUGGAUCCGCGCCGCAUUAGCUAGUUGGUGAGGUAACGGCUUACCAAGGCGACGAUGCGUAGCCGACCUGAGAGGGUGAUCGGCCACCCUGGAACUGAGACACGGUCCAGACUCCUACGGGAGGCAGCAGUCGGGAAUCUUCCGCAAUGGGCGGGAGCUUGACGGAGCAACGCCGCGUGAGUGAUGAAGGUCUUCGGAUCGUAAGACUCUGUUAUUAGGGAAGAACAAAUGUGUAAGUAACUAUGCACGUCUUGACGGUACCUAAUCAGAAAGCCACGGCUAACUACGUG